CGGAAAGCCUGAUCCAGCAACGCGCGUGAGGGAUGACGGCCUUCGGGUUGUAAACCUCUUUCAGCAGGGACGAAGCGCAAGUGACGGUACCUGCAGAAGAAGCACCGGCCAACUACGUGCCAGCAGCCGCGGUAAUACGUAGGGUGCGAGCGUUGUCCGGAAUUAUUGGGCGUAAAGGGCUCGUAGGCGGUUUGUCGCGUCAGGAGUGAAAACUCGGGGCUUAACUCCGAGCCUGCUUCUGAUACGGGCAGACUAGAGGUAUGCAGGGGAGAACGGAAUUCCUGGUGUAGCGGUGAAAUGCGCAGAUAUCAGGAGGAACACCGGUGGCGAAGGCGGUUCUCUGGGCAUUACCUGACGCUGAGGAGCGAAAGUGUGGGGAGCGAACAGGAUUAGAUACCCUGGUAGUCCACACCGUAAACGUUGGGCGCUAGGUGUGGGACUCAUUCCACGAGUUCCGUGCCGCAGCUAACGCAUUAAGCGCCCCGCCUGGGGAGUACGGCCGCAAGGCUA
RNAcentral lists this ribosomal RNA (510 nucleotides) under uncultured Actinomycetes bacterium. RNAcentral's name for it is "bacterial SSU rRNA". It matches the Rfam family "Bacterial small subunit ribosomal RNA", at positions 376 to 896 of the family's 1533-position model. The record is from RNAcentral. Lineage: Bacteria; Bacillati; Actinomycetota; Actinomycetes.